GACGAACGCUGGCGGCGUGCUUAACACAUGCAAGUCGAACGGAAAGGCCCUGCUUUUGUGGGGUGCUCGAGUGGCGAACGGGUGAGUAACACGUGAGUAACCUGCCCUUGACUUUGGGAUAACUUCAGGAAACUGGGGCUAAUACCGGAUAGGAGCUCCUGCUGCAUGGUGGGGGUUGGAAAGUUUCGGCGGUUGGGGAUGGACUCGCGGCUUAUCAGCUUGUUGGUGGGGUAGUGGCUUACCAAGGCUUUGACGGGUAGCCGGCCUGAGAGGGUGACCGGCAACUUGCGGAGGGGGAUGCGGCCCAGACGCCUGAGGGGGGCGGCAGGGGUCAAGAUGGAGCGGCGGGCGGAGGGCGGAGGGAGCGAGCGCGGGUGCGCUGUGAAGGCUGGCGCGCUGGAACACGCGUGCGCCGGGGAAGGAGCGUGCGUGACGGUAAUGGGUAAAGAAGCACCUGAUAACGACGGGCAAGGCGAGGGGGGAAAUAACAACGAGCACACGUCUGAAC
Molecule: ribosomal RNA, 508 nt
Filed under: uncultured bacterium
Lineage: Bacteria
Description: partial 16S ribosomal RNA
Rfam family: Bacterial small subunit ribosomal RNA (bases 21-331)
Source: RNAcentral